This 253-nucleotide ribosomal RNA is filed under the name uncultured bacterium. Its description in RNAcentral is "partial 16S ribosomal RNA". It matches the Rfam family "Bacterial small subunit ribosomal RNA", at positions 524 to 776 of the family's 1533-position model. The record is from RNAcentral.
GACGAAGGAUGCAAGCGUUAUCCGGAUUCAUUGGGUUUAAAGGGAGCGUAGGCGGUCCUGUAAGUCAGUGGUGAAAUCUCUCGGCUUAACCGAGAAAUUGCCAUUGAUACUGCAGAACUUGAGUACAGUUGCCGUUGGCGGAAUAUGACAUGUAGUGGUGAAAUACAUAGAGAUGUCAUAGAACACCGAUUGCGAAGGCAGCUAACGAAACUGUAACUGACGCUGAGGCUCGAAAGUGCGGGGAUCAAACAGG